Molecule: transfer RNA, 57 nt
Filed under: Onchocerca flexuosa
Lineage: Eukaryota; Metazoa; Nematoda; Chromadorea; Rhabditida; Onchocercidae
Description: tRNA-Ala
Source: RNAcentral
GUGUAUAUAUUAUAAAUAGAUUAUAUUUGACUUGCAUUCAUAAGAUACUUAUACACG